UUGCCAGGGCUACGCGGCUUGUCUUCCAUGACCGAUCAGCACAGUGAGAAAAAGCAGGGACAUGAUGUCCUGGCUUACUGCACAAGAAUCAUUCUAGAAGGGCAAAGCAACGAACAGGAGAACAUUUCUUUCUUUCAUGAAACCAUUCGGUGCCAGACACUCUGGAAGAUCAGCAUGCCUGUUGCUAGCUAUUGGUGUCCAAAACACUUCAGUCAGUGCAGUGAGAAGGUUGAGUGACAACCCCUUCCUAGUAUACCACUUUUGAACAGGACAGUGUGGAACAGCUCGUUCAAAGCAGAGUAAACACACAAACAGAAAGAUGUCAAACAUAAAUUCUGGAUUUCUGGCACACCCUGGAUGUGCUGAGCACCACUUUCAUUCAGUUGAAGAUUAGGCUAUGUUUACUUCUCCUCUUCCACCUUACGCCAGCUGAAAGGGUCAAUAUAGCAGCCUACCACUGAAAGAGGAAAGCCGAGCACACUCAGAAUGUUCCAGCAAAGCCUUUUCCAAAAAGAGCUCUGACUACUUUACUGCACAAAGAAGGAAGGGAAAAAAAGGAAAGUGAACUGAAUUCCUCUACUGCCUCUUUUUGAUGUGCAGCCAUGUACAGAAAUCUGCAUUUAUAAACUGUUAUCUGUCCAAUACAUUGAAUUUGAGCUGUGUUUUAUGAAGCAUGCAAUAGUAAUUAAAGUGAUCUUUUG
Ictalurus punctatus (channel catfish) is the source of this 701-nucleotide long non-coding RNA. Lineage: Eukaryota; Metazoa; Chordata; Actinopteri; Siluriformes; Ictaluridae. The record is from Ensembl.